CCUACGGGAGGCAGCAGUGGGGAAUAUUGGACAAUGGGCGCAAGCCUGAUCCAGCCAUGCCGCGUGUGUGAAGAAGGCCUUCGGGUUGUAAAGCACUUUUGUCCGGAAAGAAAAGCAUUGGGUUAAUACCCCGAUGUCAUGACGGUACCGGAAGAAUAAGCACCGGCUAACUUCGUGCCAGCAGCCGCGGUAAUACGAAGGGUGCAAGCGUUACUCGGAAUUACUGGGCGUAAAGCGUGCGUAGGUGGUUUGUUAAGUCUGAUGUGAAAGCCCUGGGCUCAACCUGGGAAUGGCAUUGGAAACUGGCUUACUAGAGUGCGGUAGAGGGUAGUGGAAUUCCCGGUGUAGCAGUGAAAUGCGUAGAUAUCGGGAGGAACAUCUGUGGCGAAGGCGACUACCCGGACCAGCACUGACACUGAGGCACGAAAGCGUGGGGAGCAAACAGGAUUAGAUACCCUGGUAGUCCACGCCCUAAACGAUGCGAACUGGAUGUUGGGAGCAACUUGGCUCUCAGUAUCGAAGCUAACGCGUUAAGUUCGCCGCCUGGGAAGUACAGUCGCAAGACUGAAACUCAAAGGAAUUGACGG
RNAcentral lists this ribosomal RNA (587 nucleotides) under uncultured bacterium. Its description in RNAcentral is "bacterial SSU rRNA". It matches the Rfam family "Bacterial small subunit ribosomal RNA", at positions 338 to 916 of the family's 1533-position model. The record is from RNAcentral.